Molecule: ribosomal RNA, 475 nt
Filed under: uncultured bacterium
Lineage: Bacteria
Description: bacterial SSU rRNA
Rfam family: Bacterial small subunit ribosomal RNA
Source: RNAcentral
GAUGAACGCUAGCGGCAGGCUUAAUACAUGCAAGUCGAGGGGUAACAGGGGUAGCAAUACCUGCUGACGACCGGCAAACGGGUGCGGAACACGUACGCAACUUUCCCAAAACUGGUGAAUAGCCCUCCGAAAGGAGGAUUAAUACACCGUAACAUAAUGAAGUGGCAUCACUUUAUUAUUAUAGCUCCGGCGGUUUUGGAUGGGCGUGCGCCUGAUUAGGUAGUUGGCGGGGUAACGGCCCACCAAGCCUGCGAUCAGUAACUGGUGUGAGAGCACGACCAGUCACACGGGCACUGAGACACGGGCCCGACUCCUACGGGAGGCAGCAGUAAGGAAUAUUGGUCAAUGGACGAAAGUCUGAACCAGCCAUGCCGCGUGAAGGAUGAAGGUCCUCUGGAUUGUAAACUUCUUUUAUAUGGGAACGAAAAAGGAAUUUCUUUCUCACUUGACGGUACCAUAGGAAUAAGCACCGGCU